ACCUGCCCUAUGAAUAAUUUGCUUUUAAAUGGCUGCGGUACUCUGACCGUGCAAAGGUAGCAUAAUAAUUAGUUUCUUAAUUGGGAACUGGAAUGAACGGUCGAACGAGAAAAAUACUGUCUCAAUUUAAUUUAAAUUAGAAUUUUAUUUUUUAGUAAGAAAGCUGAAAUAUUCUUAAAAGACGAGAAGACCCUAUAGAGUUUUAUAUAAAUAAUUUUAGUUGAAAGUUAAAGUAUUAUAGAUUUAAUUAUAAUGGUUUAUAUUUGGUUGGGGCGAUUAAAAAAUUUAAUAAACUUUUUUUGAGAUUAAACCAUUAAUUUAUGAAUAGGUGAUCCAUAUUUUAUGAUUAAAAGAUU
Molecule: ribosomal RNA, 356 nt
Filed under: Arachnodes sp. 1 HKW-2010
Lineage: Eukaryota; Metazoa; Arthropoda; Insecta; Coleoptera; Scarabaeidae
Description: partial 16S ribosomal RNA
Rfam family: Archaeal large subunit ribosomal RNA (bases 1-168)
Source: RNAcentral